Molecule: ribosomal RNA, 908 nt
Filed under: uncultured bacterium
Lineage: Bacteria
Description: bacterial SSU rRNA
Rfam family: Bacterial small subunit ribosomal RNA
Source: RNAcentral
ACGCUGGCGGCAGGCUUAACACAUGCAAGUCGAACGGUAACAUGGAUUAGCUUGCUAAUCUGCUGACGAGUGGCGGACGGGUGAGUAAUGCUUGGGAAUCUGGCUUAUGGAGGGGGAUAACUACGGGAAACUGUAGCUAAUACCGCGUAAAAUCUUCGGAUUAAAGGGUGGGACUUUCGAGCCACCUGCCAUAAGAUGAGCCCAAGUGGGAUUAGGUAGUUGGUUAGGUAAAGGCUGACCAAGCCGACGAUCUCUAGCUGGUCUGAGAGGAUGACCAGCCACACUGGAACUGAGACACGGUCCAGACUCCUACGGGAGGCAGCAGUGGGGAAUAUUGCACAAUGGGGGGAACCCUGAUGCAGCCAUGCCGCGUGAAUGAAGAAGGCCUUCGGGUUGUAAAGUUCUUUCGGUGACGAGGAAGGUUGAUAGGUUAAUAGCCUAUCAAAUUGACGUUAAUCACAGAAGAAGCACCGGCUAACUCCGUGCCAGCAGCCGCGGUAAUACGGGGGGUGCGAGCGUUAAUCGGAAUAACUGGGCGUAAAGGGCACGCAGGCGGUGACUUAAGUGAGAUGUGAAAGCCCCGAGCUUAACUUGGGAAUUGCAUUUCAUACUGGGUCGCUAGAGUACUUUAGGGAGGGGUAGAAUUCCACGUGUAGCGGUGAAAUGCGUAGAGAUGUGGAGGAAUACCGAAGGCGAAGGCAGCCCCUUGGGAAUGUACUGACGCUCAUGUGCGAAAGCGUGGGGAGCAAACAGGAUUAGAUACCCUGGUAGUCCACGCUGUAAACGAUGUCGAUUUGGGGAUUGGGCUUUGAGCUUGGUGCCCGUAGCUAACGUGAUAAAUCGACCGCCUGGGGAGUACGGCCGCAAGGUUAAAACUCAAAUGAAUUGACGGGGGCCCGCACAAGCGG